CGUAGGGGGCAAACGUUGUCCGGAUUUACUGGGUGUAAAGGGUGCUCAGGCGGUUUUGUAAGUCAGAAGUGAAAUCCUAGGGCUUAACUCUGGAACUGCUUUUGAUACUGCAAGGCUUGAAUAUGGAAGAGGAGGGCGGAAUUUCUGGUGUAGCAGUGAAAUGCGUAGAUAUCAGAAAGAACACCAGUGGCGAAGGCGGCCCUCUGGUCCAUUAUUGACGCUAAGGCACGAAAGCGUGGGGAGCAAACAGGAUUAGAUACCCUGGUAGUCCACGCCUUAAACGAUGAAUACUAGACGUUGGGGUUAAACUCAGUGUCGCAGCUAACGCAUUAAGUAUUCCACCUGGGGAGUACGAUCGCAAGGUUG
RNAcentral lists this ribosomal RNA (366 nucleotides) under uncultured organism. RNAcentral's name for it is "bacterial SSU rRNA". It matches the Rfam family "Bacterial small subunit ribosomal RNA", at positions 526 to 896 of the family's 1533-position model. The record is from RNAcentral.